AAAUAUCUUAUUUCUUGGUUGUCCCAAUACGGCCCCAACAGCGAAAUCACUAGCGCCGCACAAUAAUUCAAAUAGCAAGUUCCAAUCCGAUGUGAUGAUCACGGGUGCUGAAAUCAACUUUUCUUUCAAGGUGUUAAAAACCAGCAAAAACUCGUCUAUGAACUCAAAUGUGAAUUCCUUCAUCAACAAAUAGCACAGUGGUUUAGUUAUUUUUGAGAAAUCUUUGAUGAACCUUCUGUAGAAACCGGCAUGCCCAAGGAAGCUACGAACACCUUUCACUGAUGUUGGUGGCAGUAAUUUUUCGAUCACCUGAAUCUUUGCUCUGUUUACCUCAAUACCCUUUGCUGAGAUUCUGUAUCCUAAAAUGAUGUCCUCCUGUACCGUAAAGUGACAUUUCUCCCAAUUCAAUACCAAGUUGGUCUCUGUAUACCGCUGUAACACAAG
Molecule: long non-coding RNA, 444 nt
Filed under: Olea europaea subsp. europaea
Lineage: Eukaryota; Viridiplantae; Streptophyta; Magnoliopsida; Lamiales; Oleaceae
Source: RNAcentral